CCCUUGCGAUGGCUGAACCUGUCAGUUGCCUGGAGCCAAGUCCAAGGAUUUUUCUGAGCCUGAUGGAUUUACAGUGAUCGUUGGUGGCCUGGGGAA
Molecule: non-coding RNA, 96 nt
Organism: Choloepus hoffmanni (Hoffmann's two-fingered sloth)
Lineage: Eukaryota; Metazoa; Chordata; Mammalia; Pilosa; Megalonychidae
Source: Rfam